GGGCGAUUCAGGGGGGCUCUUGGCCUCCGGAGCCGAAGGUCGCGCGUUCGAAUCGCGCAUCGCUCA
This 66-nucleotide transfer RNA is filed under the name Treponema sp. RNAcentral describes it as "tRNA-Arg". Lineage: Bacteria; Pseudomonadati; Spirochaetota; Spirochaetia; Treponematales; Treponemataceae. The record is from RNAcentral.